GUCUAUUGCCAUGCCAGCCUGAAUGUGCCUGAUCUUGUCUGAUAUCAGAAGCUAAGCAAAGUCAGGUCCGGUUAGUACUUGGAUGGGUGACCACCUAGGAAUACCAGGUGCUGUAAGCA
This 119-nucleotide ribosomal RNA is filed under the name Pteropus alecto (black flying fox). The record is from RNAcentral. Lineage: Eukaryota; Metazoa; Chordata; Mammalia; Chiroptera; Pteropodidae.